GAAGAAGAAGAAGAAGAAGGAUUACUAGAAGGUUCCAUUGGAGGGCGGGAUUGAUCAGGUGCGUGACGGGUCACGGAUUGUUGGUGGUGUUGUUCUAGGUAGUGAAGGGUAUGGGUGCGAGGGGCAUUGUUGGAGCGGAUAAAGAACCAAAGUCCCACGCCGGGUUGGGGGUGAGACCGCGACUGAUUCGCACCCAGUUUUCGGCCGUAAUUAGCGAUUCGCCACUAGGAUUGGAUCGAUCGCAACAGAAGAAGCUAGGCCUAAUCGAAUUGACAUGAAAAUCAUUUAAAAAAUCAAGGAAAGAAAAUUAAGGAUCUCAAGGGAAGGAUUGGAUAUGAACAUCGAAGAAUAGAGAUUUUCUUUGAAGGAAGAGGAAGCUGGUGCUCUGGCGGCGUGGUGUUUCGGCGACCUCACUGUCAGGCGGGAGGAAGAACGGUUUGCGUCACCUGUGGGUGAGUUUUAAUCUGGUGAUUUUUGAUGACCU
Molecule: unclassified non-coding RNA, 484 nt
Filed under: Hevea brasiliensis (rubber tree)
Lineage: Eukaryota; Viridiplantae; Streptophyta; Magnoliopsida; Malpighiales; Euphorbiaceae
Source: RNAcentral